This 2651-nucleotide long non-coding RNA is filed under the name Homo sapiens (human). Its description in RNAcentral is "HSALNT0162506". The record is from RNAcentral. Lineage: Eukaryota; Metazoa; Chordata; Mammalia; Primates; Hominidae.
UGAGCAUAAGAAAACUUGAAAGCGGUGUAAAUGGCUCUUAUCUGAACCACAAUGAAUUCACAUAUUCAAGUUGGCUUCUUCGGAAAUUUCAGGCCACAAAUGGCAGUGAUGCGACCAGGAGCAGUAACACGAUUACAAGUCGCAAUUUAGGAAGGGUGCUCCAUCAUCAUUUCAUGAUUCUCACUACAGCCCAGACAGGUGGGCAGAGCAGUGUUCUUUCCCCUUUAAUGAAUGAAGAAGCUGAGCCUCAAACAGAUGAGGGGGCUUCCUGGGUUCACAGAGCUCUAAAGGGCUGAGCUGUAGAUCCACGGCCACCAUGAUGAGCUAAGAGUUUCUGGAUUCAGUGCCUGCUGUUGCUCCUGGAGAUUUGUAUCCUGAUUGAAGGCUGGUUCCAUAUCUGUUCACCCAGUCACCUUUAAAAUUAAGUCCUGGGCACAAAUCAUUAGUCUGGCAAGUUACAUCACUGUGCCACUUCCAUCCGGACAGAAGGAACCCAGGUCAAGGCUGACAGGAGGAGCAGGAGCCGUCAAUGAGAGCAGACCUCAGAAGCCAACGGAGGUGAGAAGAGCACCAUCCACAGCCCCAUCCUCUGAAUGCUGUGGGAAGAAGUCCACAAAAUACCACCCCUUGGAGUCAGUCAGUAGUAGAGCCCUUGCUGCUGGCUGCAAAUACCCCAUCAGAACAUGUUUGGGGUGAUUCUUGGACCUGGUUUCAAUUUCUUUUCUGCCAGUCAGCAGUUGUGCUUGACUCACAAUUUGUUGCCAUCUCUUGAAUUAAACUCAGGAAACAGGAUAAAGAUCAGAACCACAUUGUAAAAGCUUCCUUAUGGUUCAUUUUUUGCUGAGAUAAAUAAUGAGCAGCUCUGAUCCAUGUCUCUGGAGAGCUCAGAGCACACUACCAGGAGCUCCUAGCCACAGGGUGAGCACAGGUGGCUGGUGUUCUCUUGAUGAGGAAAGACAGCAGUGUCCAAUCUACCCUGCCUUACACGGAGCCCCAGGUGCUCUCCCGGACUGUGUUGCUACCUAAAGCACAUGGCAAUUGCAUGAUGCUAACCAGAGCAGCCCCUCACUCAUUAGAAACAUCUGCUUUGCAUUAUUUACACAGGCAAAGUUUUCCUUUUUACUGAGCCUACCCAGUUCAAACUUAAGUGGGAUUUGCCAGCUAUCUGGCUAAUUUUAUGAGCAAUAAUAAAGAUUGGUGAACACUUGGUUUUUGCAUAAUUAUAAUCAAUUUUAUGUUAAACUUAGCUUAAAAGAAAUUUAUCUUCAUGAGAAAAAUAGACAGACUUUAGUGAGGACCAAUCUACAAAAUGCCUGACCAGAGUUCUUCAAAACUGUCAAGGUCAUCAAAAUCAAGGAAAGUUUCAGAGAUUGUCACAACCAAGAGGAGCCUAAGGCAAUGCUGUGACUAAAUGUCAUGUGGUGGUCUGGAUGGGGUCUUGGACCGGGAAAAGGAUACUAGAUAAAAACAGGAAAUCCAAAUAAUGUGUAGAUUUUAGUCAAUAAUAAUGUAUCAAUAUUGGCUCAUUAAAUUGUGACAAAUGUGCCAUACCAAUGAAAGAUGUUAAUAACAGGGGAGGCUAGGUGUGGAGCAUUCGAGAACUCUCUCAACUAUGCUCUCAACUUUUGGGUGAGUCUAAAACUGUUCUAAAAUAAAAACUUUAUUUAAAAAUAUAUAAAGAGGCUGGGCACAGUGGCUCAUGCCUGUAAUCCCAGCACUUUGGGAGGUCAGGACAAGAGGAUUUCUUGAGCCCAGGAGUUGGAGACCAGCCUCGGUCACAUGAUAAAACUCUGUUUCUACAACACAUACAAAAAUUAGUGGCACACGCCUGUAGUCUCAGCUAGUCAAGCGGAUGAAGUGUGAGGAUCAUCUGAGCCUGGCAAGGUCAAGGCUGCAGUGAAUAGUGAUUGUGAAAAUGAAAUCCAGCCAGGCGACAGAGUGAGACCCUGUCUAAAAAAAAAAAAAAAAAAAAAAACUAUACAUAUACAUAUGUAAAUUAAGAAUGAAACAGAAACUUCCAUAAUCUCAUCUUCUGAAUUUUGGAAUUGUGUAAAAGUUGCCUCAAACCAAUGAUAAGUAAUAGCUCAUGUUUACCAAGUGCUGACAACAUGUCAGUGUGCUAAGAACUUUACACACGUUACUUGUUUAAUUCUCACAAAGAUCCUAUGGAGUAGGUACAACCAUUAGCCUACUGCACAGAUGUAGAAACUGAGGCAUAGCACCAUUAAAUAAUUUGUCCAGCUCAGAAAGCAGCAUUUGGUUAUAGAGCUCAUGUACUCUACCACUGCUCUGUACUGCACAGAGCAGGGCCACAAAUGAAAAGACAGUCAUGAGUCCGUUAAAAUUCCAGGAUAGUGAACACUGGGACAUAGAAUAUGCUGCUAAGGGGGGCUGGGACAUUCAAGGCCUGAGUGACUUCUCUGCAUCUGUAUACAGAGCCUGGGAGAUGUGCCACUCAUUUGUCAUCUGAUGAUAAUCUACUCAUGAAAAAUCAUAUUCUUUGAAGGAUGAUUAAUUAAUUUGACAAAUCCGAGAUUAAGACAAAUGACUUAGAAGGGAAAGAAUCAGUCAUAGCCUGCACCUGGCCCGGUAUGGACUUCCUGUCGCAGGCCACUACCCCUUCUGCCUGCAUCUUCAGGUCUGCCCAGUUC